ACUACUUUGGCAGAUAAGUGCAAUGAAUUUAGAAUUCAUGAAUAUAAAUAAUAUUUAUAGGUAGUA
RNAcentral lists this transfer RNA (66 nucleotides) under Schizodactylus jimo. Its description in RNAcentral is "tRNA-Leu". The record is from RNAcentral. Lineage: Eukaryota; Metazoa; Arthropoda; Insecta; Orthoptera; Schizodactylidae.